CAAAGGACAAAACGCUGGUCAAACUUUCCAUACAGUAAAUGUGUGCAAAUAAACAAAAUGUUGCAUUCAAAACUUGUACUCAAGGAACAUGUGUGCAUUAAUUCCAGACAUGAGGCCAUUAGUACAGACACAAUUGAUUUUUCACAGUUAUUAGAGGAGAUAAGGAAAUAGUAUUAUGUUUUUCAAAUGUGAGAGACCCUGUGAUUCAAAGACAUGUGCAAGUAAAUUGGUGUAGAAUAUGUAAAACUGUUCACAUUGAAAGUAAUUUGUGUAUC
This is a long non-coding RNA of Alosa sapidissima (American shad), 275 nucleotides long. RefSeq lists it as uncharacterized. The transcript has 3 exons. NCBI's taxonomy places the organism in Eukaryota, Metazoa, Chordata, Actinopteri, Clupeiformes, Clupeidae. The record is from RefSeq and is a predicted model, not a curated record.